Molecule: ribosomal RNA, 514 nt
Filed under: uncultured bacterium
Lineage: Bacteria
Description: partial 16S ribosomal RNA
Rfam family: Bacterial small subunit ribosomal RNA
Source: RNAcentral
AGCGAACGCUGGCGGCGUGCUUAACACAUGCAAGUCGAACGUGAAAUGUAGCAAUACAGAGUAAAGUGGCGUACGGGUGAGUAACACGUGGGUAAUCUACCAAAGAGCCUGGAAUAACCGACCGAAAGGCUGGCUAAUACUGGAUAGUUCAAAUGAAAUAUAAUGUUUCGAUCGGGAAAGGGAGCGAGCAAUCGCCUUCACUUUUUGAUGAGCCCGCGUCUGAUUAGCUAGUUGGUAGGGUAAUGGCCUACCAAGGCGACGAUCAGUAGCUGGUCUGAGAGGAUGAUCAGCCACACUGGAACUGAAACACGGUCCAGACUCCUACGGGAGGCAGCAGUGGGGAAUCUUGCGCAAUGGACGAAAGUCUGACGCAGCCACGCCGCGUGAGUGAAGAAGGCCUUCGGGUUGUAAAGCUCUGUCGGAAGGGACAAAAACGUUUAAGGUUAAUAGCCUUAGAUCUUGAUGGUACCUUCAAAGGAAGCACCGGCUAACUUCGUGCCAGCAGCCGCCGUAA